AAGCUCUCUUGUCAGGAAAGAAAUCCUAUUCGCUAAUACCGAGUGGGGAUGACGGUACCUGAAGAAUAAGCACCGGCUAACUACGUGCCAGCAGCCGCGGUAAUACGUAAGGUGCGAGCGUUAAUCGGAAUUACUGGGCGUAAAGCGUGCGCAGGCGGUUGUGCAAGACAGAUGUGAAAUCCCCGGGCUUAACCUGGGAAUUGCAUUUGUGACUGCACGGCUAGAGUGUGUCAGAGGGGGGUAGAAUUCCACGUGUAGCAGUGAAAUGCGUAGAGAUGUGGAGGAAUACCGAUGGCGAAGGCAGCCCCCUGGGAUAACACUGACGCUCAUGCACGAAAGCGUGGGGAGCAAACAGGAUUAGAUACCCUGGUAGUCCACGCCCUAAACGAUGUCUACUAGUUGUCGGGUCUUAAUUGACUUGGUAACGCAGCUAACGCGUGAAGUAGACCGCCUGGGGAGUACGGUCGCAAGAUUAAAACUCAAAGGAAUUGACGGGGACCCGCACAAGCGGUGGAUGAUGUGGAUUAAUUCGAUGCAACGCGAAAAACCUUACCUACCCUUGACAUGUACGGAACCCUGCUGAAAGGUGGGGGUGCUCGAAAGAGAGCCGUAACACAGGU
RNAcentral lists this ribosomal RNA (620 nucleotides) under uncultured bacterium. Its description in RNAcentral is "bacterial SSU rRNA". It matches the Rfam family "Bacterial small subunit ribosomal RNA", at positions 428 to 1039 of the family's 1533-position model. The record is from RNAcentral.